AGCGGCGGACGGGUGCGUAAUGCCUAGGAAUCUGCCUAGUAGUGGGGGACAACGUUUCGAAAGGAACGCUAAUACCGCAUACGUCCUACGGGAGAAAGUGGGGGAUCUUCGGACCUCACGCUAUUAGAUGAGCCUAGGUCGGAUUAGCUAGUUGGUAGGGUAAAGGCCUACCAAGGCGACGAUCCGUAACUGGUCUGAGAGGAUGAUCAGUCACACUGGAACUGAGACACGGUCCAGACUCCUACGGGAGGCAGCAGUGGGGAAUAUUGGACAAUGGGCGAAAGCCUGAUCCAGCCAUGCCGCGUGUGUGAAGAAGGCCUUCGGGUCGUAAAGCACUUUAAGUUGGGAGGAAGGGCUCAUAGCGAAUACCUGUGAGUUUUGACGUUACCAACAGAAUAAGCACCGGCUAACUUCGUGCCAGCAGCCGCGGUAAUACGAAGGGUGCAAGCGUUAAUCGGAAUUACUGGGCGUAAAGCGCGCGUAGGUGGCUUGAUAAGUUGGAUGUGAAAUCCCCGGGCUCAACCUGGGAACUGCAUCCAAAACUGUCUGGCUAGAGUGCGGUA
This 563-nucleotide ribosomal RNA is filed under the name Pseudomonas sp. RNAcentral describes it as "bacterial SSU rRNA". It matches the Rfam family "Bacterial small subunit ribosomal RNA", at positions 94 to 653 of the family's 1533-position model. The record is from RNAcentral. Lineage: Bacteria; Pseudomonadati; Pseudomonadota; Gammaproteobacteria; Pseudomonadales; Pseudomonadaceae.